CGGCGACGGGUGAGUAACACGUAUGCAAUCCACCUGUAACAGGGGAGUAACCCGGAGAAAUCCGGACUAAUACCCAUAAUAUGGGCGCUCCGCAUGGAGAGUUCAUUAAAGAGAGCAAUUUUGGUUACAGACGAGCAUGCGCUCCAUUAGCCAGUUGGCGGGGUAACGGCCCACCAAGGCGACGAUGGAUAGGGGUUCUGAGAGGAAGGUCCCCCACAUUGGAACUGAGACACGGUCCAA
This 240-nucleotide ribosomal RNA is filed under the name uncultured bacterium. RNAcentral's name for it is "partial 16S ribosomal RNA". It matches the Rfam family "Bacterial small subunit ribosomal RNA", at positions 102 to 334 of the family's 1533-position model. The record is from RNAcentral.